RNAcentral lists this ribosomal RNA (621 nucleotides) under uncultured soil bacterium. RNAcentral's name for it is "bacterial SSU rRNA". It matches the Rfam family "Bacterial small subunit ribosomal RNA", at positions 55 to 720 of the family's 1533-position model. The record is from RNAcentral.
AUGCAAGUCGAACGCUCGUAGCAAUACGAGAGUGGCAGACGGGUGAGUAACACGUGGGAACCUUCCCUAUGGUUCGGAAUAGCCCAGGGAAACUUGGGGUAAUACCGGAUAAGCCCUUACGGGGAAAGAUUUAUCGCCAUUGGAUGGGCCCGCGUCGGAUUAGCUAGUUGGUGGGGUAACGGCUCACCAAGGCGACGAUCCGUAGCUGGUCUGAGAGGAUGAUCAGCCACACUGGGACUGAGACACGGCCCAGACUCCUACGGGAGGCAGCAGUGGGGAAUAUUGGACAAUGGGCGCAAGCCUGAUCCAGCCAUGCCGCGUGAGUGACGAAGGCCUUAGGGUUGUAAAGCUCUUUUGGCGGGGAAGAUAAUGACGGUACCCGCAGAAUAAGCUCCGGCUAACUUCGUGCCAGCAGCCGCGGUAAUACGAAGGGAGCUAGCGUUGUUCGGAAUCACUGGGCGUAAAGCGCACGUAGGCGGAUGUGUCAGUCAGGGGUGAAAUCCCGGAGCUCAACUUCGGAACUGCCUUUGAUACAGCACGUCUUGAGUCCGGAAGAGGUGGGUGGAAUUCCUAGUGUAGAGGUGAAAUUCGUAGAUAUUAGGAAGAACACCGGUGGCGAAG